This 516-nucleotide ribosomal RNA is filed under the name uncultured bacterium. Its description in RNAcentral is "partial 16S ribosomal RNA". It matches the Rfam family "Bacterial small subunit ribosomal RNA", at positions 28 to 523 of the family's 1533-position model. The record is from RNAcentral.
GACGAACGCUGGCGGCAUGCCUAAUACAUGCAAGUCGAGCGGACUUGAAGAGAAGCUUGCUUCUCUGAUGGUUAGCGGCGGACGGGUGAGUAACACGUAGGCAACCUGCCCUCAAGCUUGGGACAACUACCGGAAACGGUAGCUAAUACCGAAUACUUGUUUUCUUCGCCUGAAGGAAACUGGAAAGACGGAGCAAUCUGUCACUUGGGGAUGGGCCUGCGGCGCAUUAGCUAGUUGGUGAGGUAACGGCUCACCAAGGCGACGAUGCGUAGCCAGCCUGAGAGGGUGAUCGGCCACACUGGGACUGAGACACGGCCCAGACUCCUACGGGAGGCAGCAGUAGGGAAUCUUCCGCAAUGGGCGAAAGCCUGACGGAGCAAUGCCGCGUGAGUGAUGAAGGUUUUCGGAUCGUAAAGCUCUGUUGCCAGGGAAGAACGCUUGGGAGAGUAACUGCUCCCAAGGUGACGGUACCUGAGAAGAAAGCCCCGGCUAACUACGUGCCAGCAGCCGCAGUAA